This 254-nucleotide ribosomal RNA is filed under the name uncultured bacterium. Its description in RNAcentral is "partial 16S ribosomal RNA". It matches the Rfam family "Bacterial small subunit ribosomal RNA", at positions 524 to 776 of the family's 1533-position model. The record is from RNAcentral.
UACGGGGGGAGCAAGCGUUGUUCGGAUUUACUGGGCGUAAAGGGCGCGUAGGCGGCCAGCACAAGUCAGUUGUGAAAUCUCCGAGCUUAACUCGGAACGGUCAACUGAUACUGUGCGGCUAGAGUGCAGAAGGGGCAACUGGAAUUCUUGGUGUAGCGGUGAAAUGCGUAGAUAUCGAGAGGAACACCAGUGGCGCAAGCGGCUGACUGGCCGAGACCUGACGCUGAGACACGACGGCGUGGGGAGCAAACCGG